This is a small nuclear RNA of Phascolarctos cinereus (koala), 119 nucleotides long. The record is from Ensembl. NCBI's taxonomy places the organism in Eukaryota, Metazoa, Chordata, Mammalia, Diprotodontia, Phascolarctidae.
GUGUGGCAUGAAAGGAGAGAAGGUUAGUAUUCACCUUACUCAGGAUGGAAAAGGUCCUACUCAUCUUUAUAACACAUAUGAUUAAGACUUUGUCCUGUGGCUUUUAACCAUAAUUGAUU